Molecule: ribosomal RNA, 1354 nt
Filed under: Campylobacter avium
Lineage: Bacteria; Pseudomonadati; Campylobacterota; Epsilonproteobacteria; Campylobacterales; Campylobacteraceae
Description: bacterial SSU rRNA
Rfam family: Bacterial small subunit ribosomal RNA
Source: RNAcentral
UGCAAGUCGAACGAUGAAGCCUUUAGCUUGCUAGAGGUGGAUUAGUGGCGCACGGGUGAGUAAGGUAUAGUUAAUCUGCCUUGCACUGGGGGACAACAUUUAGAAAUGAGUGCUAAUACCCCAUACUCCACUAUAACACAAGUUAUAGUGGGAAAGUUUUUCGGUGCAAGAUGAGACUAUAUAGUAUCAGCUAGUUGGUAAGGUAAAGGCUUACCAAGGCUAUGACGCUUAACUGGUCUGAGAGGAUGAUCAGUCACAUUGGAACUGAGACACGGUCCAAACUCCUACGGGAGGCAGCAGUGGGGAAUAUUGCGCAAUGGGCGAAAGCCUGACGCAGCAACGCCGCGUGGAGGAUGACACUUUUCGGAGCGUAAACUCCUUUUCUUAGGGAAGAAUUCUGACGGUACCUAAGGAAUAAGCACCGGCUAACUCCGUGCCAGCAGCCGCGGUAAUACGGAGGGUGCAAACGUUACUCGGAAUCACUGGGCGUAAAGGGCGCGUAGGCGGAUUAUCAAGUCUCUUGUGAAAUCUAAUGGCUCAACCAUUAAACUGCUUGGGAAACUGAUAGUCUAGAGUAAGGGAGAGGCAGAUGGAAUUGGUGGUGUAGGGGUAAAAUCCGUAGAUAUCACCAAGAAUACCCAUUGCGAAGGCGAUCUGCUGGAACUUAACUGACGCUAAGGCGCGAAAGCGUGGGGAGCAAACAGGAUUAGAUACCCUGGUAGUGCACGCCCUAAACGAUGUAUGCUAGUUGUUGGGGUGCUAGUCAUCUCAGUAAUGCAGCUAACGCAUUAAGCAUACCGCCUGGGGAGUACGGUCGCAAGAUUAAAACUCAAAGGAAUAGACGGGGACCCGCACAAGCGGUGGAGCAUGUGGUUUAAUUCGAGGAUACGCGAAGAACCUUACCUGGGCUUGAUAUCCAACUAAUUCUUUAGAGAUAAAGAAGUGCUAGCUUGCUAGAAAGUUGAGACAGGUGCUGCACGGCUGUCGUCAGCUCGUGUCGUGAGAUGUUGGGUUAAGUCCCGCAACGAGCGCAACCCUCGUCCUUAGUUGCUAACAGCUCGGCUGAGCACUCUAAGGAGACUGCCUUCGUAAGGAGGAGGAAGGUGGGGACGAUGUCAAGUCAUCAUGGCCCUUAUGCCCAGGGCGACACACGUGCUACAAUGGCAUAUACAAUGAGACGCAAUACCGUGAGGUGGAGCAAAUCUAUAAAAUAUGUCCCAGUUCGGAUUGUUCUCUGCAACUCGAGAGCAUGAAGCCGGAAUCGCUAGUAAUCGCAAAUCAGCCAUGUUGCGGUGAAUACGUUCCCGGGUCUUGUACUCACCGCCCGUCAAACCAUGGGAGUUGAUUUCACUCG